AAGUCGUAACAAGGUUUCCGUAGGUGAACCUGCGGAAGGAUCAUUAAUAAAUUUAAUGAAAAACUUUUUUUGAAUGGUGGGGAAACUCGCCUUCAAAAAAAAAGCCAAUUUUGUGAACUGUUCGACGUUUAUUUGGGGGUUGGAGAAAUCUUUUUUCUUUCAACUCCCAAGAGUAAAAAAUCAACCAAGUUAUUCUUUUUUCUGGUCAUUAUAUCUUGUUUUUCUUGUGAAAGAGAAAAAUUUGAAUACAACUUUUGACAACGGAUCUCUAGGCUCUU
RNAcentral lists this unclassified non-coding RNA (278 nucleotides) under fungal sp. Its description in RNAcentral is "partial internal transcribed spacer region". The stretch from base 1 to 46 matches the Rfam family "Eukaryotic small subunit ribosomal RNA", at positions 1786 to 1831 of the family's 1831-position model. Lineage: Eukaryota; Fungi. The record is from RNAcentral.